Molecule: long non-coding RNA, 589 nt
Filed under: Linum usitatissimum (flax)
Lineage: Eukaryota; Viridiplantae; Streptophyta; Magnoliopsida; Malpighiales; Linaceae
Description: long non-coding RNA (LUSI_LNC005497)
Source: RNAcentral
UAAAUUAAUUAUUUUAUAAUAUGUCACAUGUCAUUUACAGAAUAUUGUACCCCCUAACAAGGUGAUCUAUAUGAUAACUGAAAAAUGAAAACAAUCGAUCGAAAAUUUAUCACUACAAGAGAAUCGUUGAUUGGGAGGGGUUCCCUCGUCAGAUAGCAACGGUUAAUUAUCCUGUCAAUAUAUUACAAAGAAUGUAACCUAAUUGAUAAUCAUACAUGAUGGUACUAGUAUUCCAUCAAAAUAUAGUAUAUAUUUCCUUGACUUUGCCGCCUCCAUCCACUGACGAAACCAGGUCUCGGACCAUCCUGGUUUCGUUAUUGUUGUCUUUCUUACCGCUACCGUUGCAGAAGUGGUUGAGGGCGGUGGCGGCGGACUCCACAAUGGCAUCGAACACCAUCUUCUUCACCAACUUCCUUUUUGCCGGAAUUAUGCCUCCUCUCUUCGUAUCGUCUCCGGCGAACUUCUUCACUAGUAUAACUCCAUGAUCUUGAUGAAUUUGGCUAAUUAGUGUCAUCUCUAGACUUUUUGGUGGGUUUUCUCCGAGUUUUGAAGAUGGAGAAGGAAAUUAUAAGGAAUGAAAGUUAUGGUG